ACUCUUGUCAUAUUGAUGGCAACCACAAGGUUUAUAGAUAUGAUAAAGUAUCAAGGGGUACAAGUCCUUCUUAUUACAAUGACCAUCUGAUUGUCGAAAAUGCGAAAGUAGAUUCUCACAUAAGAAGCUUGAAUUCCAAAAUCACGAAGAAAGAUAUG
Molecule: long non-coding RNA, 158 nt
Organism: Dendronephthya gigantea
Lineage: Eukaryota; Metazoa; Cnidaria; Anthozoa; Malacalcyonacea; Nephtheidae
Exons: 2
Source: RefSeq, a predicted model, not a curated record